Non-coding RNA from Dipodomys ordii (Ord's kangaroo rat), 58 nucleotides. NCBI's taxonomy places the organism in Eukaryota, Metazoa, Chordata, Mammalia, Rodentia, Heteromyidae. The record is from Rfam.
UGGCUCAGUGGUAGAGUGCUUGCCUUGCACGCAUGAGGCCCUGGGUUCGAUUCCUCAG